Molecule: ribosomal RNA, 262 nt
Filed under: Pseudomonas aeruginosa
Lineage: Bacteria; Pseudomonadati; Pseudomonadota; Gammaproteobacteria; Pseudomonadales; Pseudomonadaceae
Description: partial 16S ribosomal RNA
Rfam family: Bacterial small subunit ribosomal RNA
Source: RNAcentral
CCGGUGACAAACCGGAGGAAGGUGGGGAUGACGUCAAGUCAUCAUGGCCCUUACGGCCAGGGCUACACACGUGCUACAAUGGUCGGUACAAAGGGUUGCCAAGCCGCGAGGUGGAGCUAAUCCCAUAAAACCGAUCGUAGUCCGGAUCGCAGUCUGCAACUCGACUGCGUGAAGUCGGAAUCGCUAGUAAUCGUGAAUCAGAAUGUCACGGUGAAUACGUUCCCGGGCCUUGUACACACCGCCCGUCACACCAUGGGAGUGG